Oncorhynchus tshawytscha (Chinook salmon) is the source of this 1134-nucleotide long non-coding RNA. The record is from Ensembl. NCBI's taxonomy places the organism in Eukaryota, Metazoa, Chordata, Actinopteri, Salmoniformes, Salmonidae.
GUGAGUGCAGGGGGUAGUGGUAGGGUGUGGUCAGGGGCUAGGUGAGUGCAGGGGGUAGUGUUAGGGUAUAGUCAGGGGCUAGGUGGGAGUAGGGGGUAGUGGUAGGGUGUAGUCAGGGGCUAGGUGAGGGUAGGGGGUAGCGGUAGGGUGUAGUCAGGGGCUAGGUGAGUAGGGGGUAGUGGUAGGGUGUAGUCAGAGGCUAGGUGAGUAGAGCGUAGUGGUAGGGUGUAGUCAGGGGCUAGGUGAGAGUAGGGGUAGUGGUAGGGUAUAGUCAGGGGCUAGGUGAGAGCAGGGGGUAGUGGUAGGGUGUUGUCAGGGGCUAGGUGAGAGUAGGGGGUAGAGGUAGGGUGUGGUCAGGGGCUAGGUGAGAUAAGGGGGUAGCGGUAGGGUGUAGUCAGGGGCUAGGUGAGAUAAGGGGGUAGUGGUAGGGUGUAGUCAGGGGCUAGGUGAGAGUAGGGGGUAGCGGUAGGGUGUUGUCAGGGGCUAGGUGAGAAGUAGGGGUAGCGGUAGGGUGUUGUCAGGGGCUAGGUGAGAGUAGGGGGUAGCGGUAGAGUGUUGUCAGGGGCUAGGCGAGAGUAGAGAGUAGGGGUAGUGGUUGGAUAUAGUCAGGGGCUAGGUGAGAGUAGGGCGUAACGGUAGGGUGUAGUCAGGGGCUAGGUAAUAGCAGGGGUAGCGGUAGGGUGUAGUCAUGGGCUAGGUGAGUAGGGGUUGGUGGUAGGGUGUUGUCAGGGGCUAGGUGAGUAGGGGGUAACGGUAGGGCGUGGUCAGGGGCUAGGUGAGUAGGGGGUAGAAGUAGGGUGUGGUCAGGGGCUAGGUGAGAGCAGGGGGUAGUGGUAGGGUGUGGUCAGGGGCUAGGUGAGAGCAGGGGGUAGUGGUAGGGUGUAGUCAGGGGCUAGGUGAGAGCAGGGGUAGUGGUAGGGUGUGGUCAGGGGCUAGGUGAGAGCAGAGGGUAGUGGUAGGGUAUAGUCAGGGGCUAGGUGAGUAGGGGGUCGUGGCAGGGUGUAAUCAGGGGCUAGGUGAGUAGGGGGUAGUGGUAGGGUGUAGUCAGGGGCUAGGUGAGAGCAGGGGUCAGUGGUAGGGUGUGGUCAAGUGCUAGGUGAGAGCAGGGGGUAGUGGUAGGGUAUAGUCAGGGGC